Oryzias melastigma (Indian medaka) is the source of this 337-nucleotide long non-coding RNA. RefSeq lists it as uncharacterized. NCBI's taxonomy places the organism in Eukaryota, Metazoa, Chordata, Actinopteri, Beloniformes, Adrianichthyidae. The record is from RefSeq and is a predicted model, not a curated record. The transcript has 2 exons.
UGCUCCUACUCCGCCUCCUAAUUAGACCCAGCUGUCGGCACUCAUCAUCUCCACACCAGCCUACUUAAGAGGAGCCCUCCCCAGCAUUCUUCGCCAGUUCGUUAUCUUACCCGGUCUCCUUCAUCCACGUGCCGACCUGGGUCCAGCCACGUCUCGACUACUCUGCCACGCCAAAGUCACUCCACGCCACGCACCAUCAGCUGAACCCACCUGGUUGUUCCACCCUGCCGCUCCAGUCCACCUCCGGUCUCCACUCUCCAUCCCCAGUCAGCAGCUCCACUCCAAGCUCCGGUCGCUGCUUCACAUUCCCCACGGACAAUAAACCUUUUUCUAACUA